UGGCUCAGUUGGUAAAGCAUGGUGCUUGCGACGCCAAGGUUGUGGGUUCAAUUCCCAU
Molecule: non-coding RNA, 58 nt
Organism: Salmo salar (Atlantic salmon)
Lineage: Eukaryota; Metazoa; Chordata; Actinopteri; Salmoniformes; Salmonidae
Source: Rfam